GACGAACGCUGGCGGCGUGCUUAACACAUGCAAGUCGAACGGAAAGGCCCUGCUUUUGUGGGGUGCUCGAGUGGCGAACGGGUGAGUAACACGUGAGUAACCUGCCCUUGACUUUGGGAUAACUUCAGGAAACUGGGGCUAAUACCGGAUAGGAGCUCCUGCUGCAUGGUGGGGGUUGGAAAGUUUCGGCGGUUGGGGAUGGACUCGCGGCUUAUCAGCUUGUUGGUGGGGUAGUGGCUUACCAAGGCUUUGACGGGUAGCCGGCCUGAGAGGGUGACCGGCAACAUUGGGACUGAGAUACGGACCAGACUCCUACGGGAGGCAGCAGUGGGGAAUAUUGCACAAUGGGCGGAAGCCUGAUGAAGCAACGCCGCGUGCGGGAUGACGGCCUUCGGGUUGUAAACCGCUUUCGCCUGUGACGAAGCGUGAGUGACGGUAAUGGGUAAAGAAGCACCGGCUAACUACGUG
This 468-nucleotide ribosomal RNA is filed under the name uncultured bacterium. RNAcentral describes it as "partial 16S ribosomal RNA". It matches the Rfam family "Bacterial small subunit ribosomal RNA", at positions 28 to 507 of the family's 1533-position model. The record is from RNAcentral.